UACGAAGGGGGCUAGCGUUGCUCGGAAUUACUGGGCGUAAAGGGCGCGUAGGCGGAUAUCUAAGUUGGGGGUGAAAUCCCGGGGCUCAACCUCGGAAUUGCCUUCAAAACUGGAUAUCUUGAGUUCGGGAGAGGUGAGUGGAACUCCGAGUGUAGAGGUGAAAUUCGUAGAUAUUCGGUAGAACACCAGUGGCGAAGGCGACUCACUGGCCCGAUACUGACGCUGAGGCGCGAAAGCGUGGGGAGCAAACAGG
This 253-nucleotide ribosomal RNA is filed under the name uncultured bacterium. RNAcentral's name for it is "partial 16S ribosomal RNA". It matches the Rfam family "Bacterial small subunit ribosomal RNA", at positions 524 to 776 of the family's 1533-position model. The record is from RNAcentral.